CAGUCGCCCGGUAAUACGUAGGGCGCAAGCGUUGUCCGGAAUUAUUGGGCGUAAAGAGCUCGUAGGCGGUCUGUCGCGUCUGGUGUGAAAUCCCGAGGCUCAACCUCGGGCUUGCAUCGGGUACGGGCAGACUAGAGUGCGGUAGGGGAGACUGGAAUUCCUGGUGUAGCGGUGGAAUGCGCAGAUAUCAGGAGGAACACCGAUGGCGAAGGCAGGUCUCUGGGCCGCAACUGACGCUGAGGAGCGAAAGCAUGGGGAGCGAACAGGAUUAGAUACCCGUGUAGUCCCUGUCUCUUAUACA
Molecule: ribosomal RNA, 301 nt
Filed under: uncultured bacterium
Lineage: Bacteria
Description: partial 16S ribosomal RNA
Rfam family: Bacterial small subunit ribosomal RNA
Source: RNAcentral